This 440-nucleotide ribosomal RNA is filed under the name uncultured bacterium. RNAcentral describes it as "bacterial SSU rRNA". It matches the Rfam family "Bacterial small subunit ribosomal RNA", at positions 340 to 773 of the family's 1533-position model. The record is from RNAcentral.
UACGGAAGCAGCAGUGGGGAAUAUUGCACAAUGGGCGCAAGCCUGAUGCAGCCAUGCCGCGUGUAUGAAGAAGGCCUUCGGGUUGUAAAGUACUUUCAGUCGUGAGGAAGGUGUUAAGGUUAAUAACCUUAGCAAUUGACGUUAGCGACAGAAGAAGCACCGGCUAACUCCGUGCCAGCAGCCGCGGUAAUACGGAGGGUGCGAGCGUUAAUCGGAAUUACUGGGCGUAAAGGGCACGCAGGCGGUUAAUUAAGUUGGAUGUGAAAUCCCCGGGCUUAACCUGGGAAUGGCAUUCAAGACUGGUUAGCUAGAGUCUUGUAGAGGGGGUAGAAUUCCAGUGUGUAGCGGUGAAAUGCGUAGAGAUGUGGAGGAAUACCGGUGGCGAAGGCGGCCCCUGGACAAACGACUGACGCUCAUGUGCGAAAGCGUGGGGAGCGAAA